Molecule: ribosomal RNA, 651 nt
Filed under: Triticum aestivum (bread wheat)
Lineage: Eukaryota; Viridiplantae; Streptophyta; Magnoliopsida; Poales; Poaceae
Description: partial small subunit ribosomal RNA
Source: RNAcentral
AUGCCAAGCUCCAGGCCAUCACAUUCUAAUAGUACUUCCAAGAACUAUUCAGAAUCUCAAGAAAGUGAGGGAAGUUACAGAUUCCAUAUGAGAUCCCAGGGAGCUAGAGAUAUUAACCAGACCAGCUGGCUAAGUGGUGGUGCAUCGCAAGUUGACUAUGGCGUUCUUGGAAAUGGGAAUCAGGCAACUAAUCUUGGUUCAGGUGCUGGUUACGGUCAUGGUUAUCAUCAUGGUAAUGGCAUUGGCGACAUAAAUGGUUAUGAUCAUCAUUACGGUACUGUCGGUUUUAAUGAUUAUGCUCAGCGUUAUGGUAAUGGAAAUAAUAAAUCUUAUGGUUAUCCUCACAGUAAUUCUAAUUAUAAUAAUUAUGGUAAUGGUAAUGGUGGUUGCGGUGGAGUUAUAACAAGUGGAAGCAUGGCAAGUGCAUCAUUGCCAUCCAACCUAGCACCACCAGUACAACAUGGAAUGCGUGGAGAUGCUUCUGCUGGUCAGGCCAGUGCAGUGCAGCCUCAUAAGCUUGACAGAGUUUUUUUAAACUGGGGCAACACUAGUUCUGAAACAGUCGGCACAUCAGGUGGAGGUGGUGUUGUGACAGACAUGACGGUGCAUGGGAUAACUAUGGAGGAAUUAGAAAACCUUACGAAGCACUAG